This 1071-nucleotide ribosomal RNA is filed under the name Paratimomenus sp. DM09. Its description in RNAcentral is "SSU rRNA". It matches the Rfam family "Eukaryotic small subunit ribosomal RNA", at positions 721 to 1795 of the family's 1831-position model. The record is from RNAcentral. Lineage: Eukaryota; Metazoa; Arthropoda; Insecta; Dermaptera; Forficulidae. RNAcentral also lists the same sequence under 1 other name.
CUUUAUUGAGUGUCGUAGCGGGCCGACACGUUUACUUUGAACAAAUUAGAGUGCUAAAAGCAGGCAAUAAUGCCUGAAUAUUGUGUGCAUGGAAUAAUAGAAUAGGACCUCGGUUCUAUUUUGUUGGUUUUCUGAACCCGAGGUAAUGAUAAAGAGGAACGGACGGGGGCAUUCGUAUUGAGACGUUAGAGGUGAAAUUCUUGGAUCGUCUCAAGACGGACAGAAGCGAAAGCAUUUGCCAAGAACGUUUUCAUUAAUCAAGAACGAAAGUUAGAGGUUCGAAGGCGAUCAGAUACCGCCCUAGUUCUAACCAUAAACGAUGCCAGCCAGCGAUCCGCUAUAGUUCCUCCGAUGACUUAGCGGGCAGCUUCCGGGAAACCAAAGCUUUUGGGUUCCGGGGGAAGUAUGGUUGCAAAGCUGAAACUUAAAGGAAUUGACGGAAGGGCACCACCAGGAGUGGAGCCUGCGGCUUAAUUUGACUCAACACGGGAAACCUCACCAGGUCCGGACACUGGAAGGAUUGACAGAUUGAGAGCUCUUUCUUGAUUCAGUGGGAGGUGGUGCAUGGCCGUUCUUAGUUGGUGGAACGAUUUGUCUGGUUAAUUCCGAUAACGAACGAGACUCUAACCUGCUAACUAGCCGUUUCCAACAUCAUAUGCUGUUGGCGGUUUUAAACUCUUCUUAGAGGGACAGGCGGCUUCUAGCCGCACGAGAUUGAGCAAUAACAGGUCUGUGAUGCCCUUAGAUGUCCUGGGCCGCACGCGCGCUACAAUGAAGGUAUCAACGUGUCCUCCCAGGCCGAAUGGUCCGGGUAACCCGCUGAACCACCUUCGUGCUAGGGAUUGGGGCUUGCAAUUGCUCCCCAUGAACGAGGAAUUCCCAGUAAGCGCGAGUCAUAAGCUCGUGUUGAUUACGUCCCUGCCCUUUGUACACACCGCCCGUCGCUACUACCGAUUGAAUGAUUUAGUGAGGUCUUCGGACUGGUACGCGAUAGCGUUAUUUCUAUAAUGCUGCCGAUGUUACUAGAAAGAUGACCAAACUUGAUCAUUUAGAGGAAGUAAAAGUCGUAAC